UGGCCGGGGCGGUCAUGUCGCUUGCCGAUGUAUAGGCGGCAAGAGGAAAGUCCGGGCAACACAGAGCACCAUACUUGUUAACGGCAAGCUGUCGGCAACGGCAGAGUAGCGUGACAGAAAACAACCGCCCGCUCCGCGCGGGUAAGGGUGAAAAGGUGGGGUAAGAGCCCACCGGGCGGCGUGGCAACACGUCGUGCCGCACGUCUUAUGGGUUGCAAGGCCAAGUACACCGGCAUUUAAGGAUUGCUCGUCCGCUGCCGGGGGGUAGGCUGCUUGAGCGGUUUAGGCCGCCUAGAUAAAUGACAAGACCGUGGCGGUGGCCGCGCGGCGGAGGCGUAAGCCCCGUCAGGCGACGAAGCGCCGCAACGACAUAACCCGGCUUAUAGCCCCGACCACUUU
RNAcentral lists this RNase P RNA (399 nucleotides) under Bacteroides sp. Its description in RNAcentral is "RNase P RNA component class A". It matches the Rfam family "Bacterial RNase P class A". Rfam says of the family: Ribonuclease P (RNase P) is a ubiquitous endoribonuclease, found in archaea, bacteria and eukarya as well as chloroplasts and mitochondria. Its best characterised activity is the generation of mature 5'-ends of tRNAs by cleaving the 5'-leader elements of precursor-tRNAs. The record is from RNAcentral. RNAcentral also lists the same sequence under 1 other name. Lineage: Bacteria; Pseudomonadati; Bacteroidota; Bacteroidia; Bacteroidales; Bacteroidaceae.